UGCAUGCCGCGAGCAAUAUACUAAAAAAGGAACAAUACAGAGAAGGUUAACAUGGCCUCUGAGCAAAGAUGUCAUGCAAAUUCUGAAAGUGUACCAUGAAAAC
This 103-nucleotide small nuclear RNA is filed under the name Neotoma lepida (desert woodrat). Lineage: Eukaryota; Metazoa; Chordata; Mammalia; Rodentia; Cricetidae. The record is from RNAcentral.